RNAcentral lists this non-coding RNA (505 nucleotides) under Pan troglodytes (chimpanzee). The record is from RNAcentral. Lineage: Eukaryota; Metazoa; Chordata; Mammalia; Primates; Hominidae.
UUGUCUCCUAGGCGACCGACGCUGAAAGGGCCGCGGAGUCGCGUGUCAGGGCUGGAGGGAGAUCUUGAGGUCCUCCCAGUGACUGACCUGGCUCAUUCUCCGAAAGUGGUUGACAGGCCACUACGAGAGCUCUUGAGAGAAGCUUUGUGACAUGAAAUUCAUCAAAUGAAGCAAGAUUCAUUUUUAAAGAAUAAUACAAAGCUCCAGAGUAAUAUGCUUAAUCCAAAUGUUUAAAUAGAAUUUAAAACCACAUUUUAAGUAAAUUUAAAAUUAAUGAAAUAUCAAUAGUUUGCCUUAACAAGGACUUGCUUGAACCAUGUUCUCCUUUUAAAAUCACACACACAGAAUCAGUGUACAUUUAGAGAAAUUUCCCCAGCUGAAUAACAUUUUUGACAUGAAUUCAUUCAAAAGACACCAACCAUUAUGAAUAUUUUAGGCCAUGAUAAGCUGUAACCACCUCCGGCUUAUGGUGGUUAGGAUGUUGCAGCUUAAUGUUGACAUCUGG